Vicia villosa (hairy vetch) is the source of this 1154-nucleotide long non-coding RNA. RefSeq lists it as uncharacterized. The record is from RefSeq and is a predicted model, not a curated record. The transcript has 4 exons. NCBI's taxonomy places the organism in Eukaryota, Viridiplantae, Streptophyta, Magnoliopsida, Fabales, Fabaceae.
CCAUGGGAAAUUUAAACUAUCGCUCACCUUUAUCCAUCCGCCGAAUUUCCUUUACCUUUCACAUUCCAACCUCGGUUUCUCACAAUUCCAUUUUCCAAACUCAAACCCUUUUCCAUUCCUUUAACUUUUCAUCUCUAUCCCUCUUAUUUCACAAAUCUGCUUCUCUCUCCAAUAAUCUCUCCCGUCUUUUUCUCUCCAAACCCAAAAACCGCCGCCGCCGAAAACAUUGGAACUGAUGCCCCUUUCUCCACCCUUCUUUCUUCUUCUUUCUUUCAUUACAUAGCACCGGUUUCUGCAACUUCAUCAGAUUUCAUCUUUAACAGAUCGGAACGCAAAAGUUACAUCGGUGAUGACUUUCAAUGGACAAACAUGAUGACACGUUUUGGAAGAUUUUAUUGCGUAUUCGUACCCGUUUUGAUGGAAAGGCAUAAAAUUUUGAUAUUUUCCCAUUGAAAAUCUCUUAUACAAAAAAGACUUUGGUUUCUUUCAACCAUCUUUAUUACAAAAUGAUCUUCAAAGCAGCAAGUUUUUCCUAGAGGCUGUGUUGCUGAAACAAACUAAGAAUAAUACAAAGUGCAUGUUUUCAAUGUGUAUUUCUCUUGAGUUCCUUAGCAUUUGUUCUGUUUAUUUUUUCUGUUGAUUUUAGGAUGAAUUUUGUUCUAUGGAUUUCUCACAAAUGUGAUUGAAUAUUUCAUGACGUGGCACGGGACAGAUCAAGUUAGUUCCAGACAAGAAAGGAUGCAUAAUAUUGCUUUGAUGGGAAAUUGAGAAUUUUGGUGCUAAACAAGGUAAUAUAUUCUAUGCAAUAAAUCUAAUAUUUUAUUUUUAUAUUCUUUUUGUUUCAUUGUUAACCGUUUCAAUUGUAGAUUUUGGUUUAUUUGUGGGAUAGAGUGAUUUUGUUCGAAGAUUUUAAAGUUCAUUACAGUCUCAGCAAAGGAAACACUAUUGACAUUGGACAAGAUUGUAUGGCAUUUGCUCCUGAGGUUGAAGAUAUUAUCUCAAUGAGUCGCAUUACUUUCAAUUCUGAAUUUUUUUCAUUUUUUAUUUUCAAUGAUUUGAUUGUAGCUGCAACAAUUAUCUCUUUAUUUUUUUCAUCAUUGCAGAAGAUGUUGACACUUAACCAUUUGAUUCUGUUGUGUUUGGUUUUUCUAUCA